UAGUCCACGCCGUAAACGAUGUUCACUCGCUGUUUGGGAUACACACUAAGCGGCCAAGCGAAAGCAUUAAGUGAACCACCUGGGGAGUACGUUGGCAACAAUGAAACUCAAAGGAAUUGACGGGGACCCGCACAAGCGGUGGAACAUGUGGUUUAAUUCGAUGAUACGCGAGGAACCUUACCUGGACUUAAAUGUGGUCUGACAGCUUUAGAGAUAGAGUUUUCUUCGGACAGAUUACAAGGUGCUGCAUGGUUGUCGUCAGCUCGUGCCGUGAGGUGUCAGGUUAAGUCCUAUAACGAGCGCAACCCCUGUUGUUAGUUGCCAGCGAGUAAUGUCGGGAACUCUAGCAAGACUGCCGGUGCAAACCGCGAGGAAGGUGGGGAUGACGUCAAAUCAUCACGGCCCUUACGUCCUGGGCCACGCACGUGCUACAAUGGUAGGUACAGAGAGCAGCCACGUCGCGAGGCGGAGCGAAUCUAUAAAACCUAUCUCAGUUCGGAUAGGACUC
Molecule: ribosomal RNA, 508 nt
Filed under: uncultured bacterium
Lineage: Bacteria
Description: bacterial SSU rRNA
Rfam family: Bacterial small subunit ribosomal RNA
Source: RNAcentral